RNAcentral lists this ribosomal RNA (1244 nucleotides) under metagenome. Its description in RNAcentral is "bacterial LSU rRNA". It matches the Rfam family "Bacterial large subunit ribosomal RNA", at positions 1564 to 2817 of the family's 2925-position model. The record is from RNAcentral.
UGAGUACGAGAUGCUACGGCAUCGAAGCAGUCUAUGUCAUACUUCCAAGAAAAGCUUGCACUGUCAUAAACAAAGAAUGCCUGUACCAUAACCGACACAGGUGGGUAGGUAGAGUAUACUAAGGGGCGCGAGAUAACUCUCUCUAAGGAACUCGGCAAAAUGACUCCGUAACUUCGGGAGAAGGAGUGCCUUAUUUCUAAGGUUGCAAUAACAAGAUCCAAGCAACUGUUUACCAAAAACACAGGUCUCCGCUAAGUCGUAAGACGAUGUAUGGGGGCUGACGCCUGCCCAGUGCCAGAAGGUUAAAGAAGUUGGUUAGCAUUAGCGAAGCUGAUAACUGAAGCCCUGGUGAACGGCGGCCGUAACUAUAACGGUCCUAAGGUAGCGAAAUUCCUUGUCGGGUAAGUUCCGACCCGCACGAAAGGCGUAAUGAUUUGGAUACUGUCUCGGAGAGGGGCUCGGUGGAAUAGACUUGUCUGUGAAGAUGCGGACUACCUGCACCUGGACAGAAAGACCCUAUGAAGCUUUACUGUAACUUGAGAUUGAAAUUGGACUUUAUUUGCGCAGUAUAGGUGGGAGGCGUUGAGAAUAAUCUUGCGGGAUUGUUGGAGCCAUCAGUGAGAUACCACUCUUGUAAUGUUAGAUUUCUAACUUUGUAUCAUUAUCUGGUCAAAGAACAGUUUCAGGCGGGCAGUUUGACUGGGGCGGUCGCCUCCCAAAGGGUAACGGAGGCGCACAAAGGUUUCCUCUGAACGGGUAGAAAUCGUAUCUAGAGUGUAAAGGCAUAAGGAAGCUUGACUGUGAGACCUACAAGUCGAGCAGGGACGAAAGUCGGUCUUAGUGAUCUGACGGUGCUGAGUGGAAAGGCCGUCACUCAACGGAUAAAAGUUACUCUAAGGAUAACAGGCUGAUCUCCCCCAAGAGUUCACAUCGACGGGGAGGUUUGGCACCUCGAUGUCGGCUCAUCGCAUCCUGGGGCGGUAGUCCGUCCCAAGGGUUGGGCUGUUCGCCCAUGAAAGCGGUACGCGAGCUGGGUUCAGAACGUCGUGAGACAGUUCGGUCCAUAUCCGGUGUAGGCGUUAGAAUAUUGAGAGGAGCCUUCUCUAGUACGAGAGGACCGAGAAGGACAUACCUCUGGUGUACCAGUUAUCGUGCCAACGGUAAACGCUGGGUAGCUAUGUAUGGAGUGGAUAACCGCUGAAAGCAUCUAAGUGGGAAGCCCACCUCAAGAUAAGUAUUCUCAU